GAUGAAGAACGCAGCGAAAUGCGAUACGUAAUGUGAAUUGCAGAAUUCAGUGAAUCAUCGAAUCUUUGAACGCAUAUUGCGCUCUCUGGUAUUCCGGAGAGCAUGCUUGUUUGAGUAUCAGUAAACACCUCAACUUCCAUAUCUUUUUUGAAAUGGGAGUUGGACUUGAGUGAUCCCAACGCUUUUCCUCACCGAAAAGUGGCGGGUUACUUGAAAUGCAGGUGCAGCUGGACUUUUCUCUGAGCUAUAAGCAUAUCUAUUUAGUCUGCCUAAAAAACAGAUUAUUACCUUUGCUGCAGCUAACAUAAAGGAGAUUAGUUCUUGUGCUGACUGAUGCAGGAUUCACAAAGACAGGCUUCGGCCGACUUUGUAAACUCGAUCUCAAAUCAAGUAAGACUACCCGCUGAACUUAAGCAUAUCAAUAAGCGCAGGA
RNAcentral lists this unclassified non-coding RNA (433 nucleotides) under soil metagenome. Its description in RNAcentral is "partial contains 5.8S ribosomal RNA, internal transcribed spacer 2, and large subunit ribosomal RNA". The stretch from base 1 to 120 matches the Rfam family "5.8S ribosomal RNA", at positions 35 to 154 of the family's 154-position model. The record is from RNAcentral.